Molecule: microRNA, 22 nt
Filed under: Sus scrofa (pig)
Lineage: Eukaryota; Metazoa; Chordata; Mammalia; Artiodactyla; Suidae
Description: ssc-mir105
Source: RNAcentral
GUUGUGCUGGAGGCCUCUGGCG